UAGGGAAUCUUCCACAAUGGACGCAAGUCUGAUGGAGCAACGCCGCGUGAGUGAAGAAGGCUUUCGGGUCGUAAAACUCUGUUAUUGAAGAAGAACGUGCGUGACAGUAACUGGUCAUGCAGUGACGGUAUUCAAUCAGAAAGUCACGGCUAACUACGUGCCAGCAGCCGCGGUAAUACGUAGGUGGCAAGCGUUGUCCGGAUUUAUUGGGCGUAAAGCGAGUGCAGGCGGUCUUUUAAGUCUGAUGUGAAAGUCUUCGGCUUAACCGAAGAAGGGCAUCGGAAACUGGGAGACUUGAGUGCAGAAGAGGAGAGUGGAACUCCAUGUGUAGCGGUGAAAUGCGUAGAUAUAUGGAAGAACACCAGUGGCGAAGGCGGCUCUCUGGUCUGUAACUGACGCUGAGGCUCGAAAGCGUGGGUAGCAAACAGGAUUAGAUACCCUGGUAGUCCACGCCGUAAACGAU
RNAcentral lists this ribosomal RNA (463 nucleotides) under uncultured bacterium. RNAcentral describes it as "partial 16S ribosomal RNA". It matches the Rfam family "Bacterial small subunit ribosomal RNA", at positions 355 to 810 of the family's 1533-position model. The record is from RNAcentral.